This 271-nucleotide long non-coding RNA is filed under the name Carica papaya (papaya). Its description in RNAcentral is "long non-coding RNA (CPAP_LNC013593)". Lineage: Eukaryota; Viridiplantae; Streptophyta; Magnoliopsida; Brassicales; Caricaceae. The record is from RNAcentral.
CGAAAUGAACGGCUGUGAUCAAAAGGCAAGGGGUUAUAAAUAGAACCUCCACACCAGACCAAAAACCCUAGCCGCCAGCCGCUCGCCGGAGAAGACGAACCAGAGGCCGACCGCCGCCACCCGCCGCCACUUGCCGCCGCACCGGGGAAAUUUCCGACCGCCGAUCGAGGUAAAUUUCAUACCCCCGACUCGUUUUUCCCCACUGAUUCCUCCUAUGGCCAAAUCGAAGCUGAAAUCCCGGCCAAACGGCCGGAAUACGCGGCCGAAGCCC